GCCUGAGUGGUGGAAUGGCAGACACGUCGGACUCAAAAUCCGAUGCCUUUACGGGCGUGUGGGUUCAAGUCCCACCUCAGGUACCA
Molecule: transfer RNA, 86 nt
Filed under: Bacillus sp. AFS040349
Lineage: Bacteria; Bacillati; Bacillota; Bacilli; Caryophanales; Bacillaceae
Description: tRNA-Leu
Rfam family: tRNA
About the family: Transfer RNA (tRNA) molecules are approximately 80 nucleotides in length. Their secondary structure includes four short double-helical elements and three loops (D, anti-codon, and T loops).
Source: RNAcentral